ACCCGGCUGGCUCAGUCUGUAGAGCAUGAGACUCUUGAUCUGAGGGUUGUGAGUUCAAGCCCCAUGUUGGGUG
Molecule: transfer RNA, 73 nt
Filed under: Ailuropoda melanoleuca (giant panda)
Lineage: Eukaryota; Metazoa; Chordata; Mammalia; Carnivora; Ursidae
Rfam family: tRNA
About the family: Transfer RNA (tRNA) molecules are approximately 80 nucleotides in length. Their secondary structure includes four short double-helical elements and three loops (D, anti-codon, and T loops). Further hydrogen bonds mediate the characteristic L-shaped molecular structure. tRNAs have two regions of fundamental functional importance: the anti-codon, which is responsible for specific mRNA codon recognition, and the 3' end, to which the tRNAs corresponding amino acid is attached (by aminoacyl-tRNA synthetases). tRNAs cope with the degeneracy of the genetic code in two manners: having more than one tRNA (with a specific anti-codon) for a particular amino acid; and 'wobble' base-pairing, i.e. permitting non-standard base-pairing at the 3rd anti-codon position.
Source: Rfam by way of RNAcentral